RNAcentral lists this ribosomal RNA (501 nucleotides) under soil bacterium S89D1. RNAcentral's name for it is "bacterial SSU rRNA". It matches the Rfam family "Bacterial small subunit ribosomal RNA", at positions 58 to 576 of the family's 1533-position model. The record is from RNAcentral.
CAAGUCGAGCGGUAAGGCCCUUCGGGGUACACGAGCGGCGAACGGGUGAGUAACACGUGGGUGAUCUGCCCUGCACUUCGGGAUAAGCCUGGGAAACUGGGUCUAAUACCGGAUAUGACCUUCGGCUGCAUGGCUGAGGGUGGAAAGGUUUACUGGUGCAGGAUGGGCCCGCGGCCUAUCAGCUUGUUGGUGGGGUAAUGGCCUACCAAGGCGACGACGGGUAGCCGACCUGAGAGGGUGACCGGCCACACUGGGACUGAGACACGGCCCAGACUCCUACGGGAGGCAGCAGUGGGGAAUAUUGCACAAUGGGCGAAAGCCUGAUGCAGCGACGCCGCGUGAGGGAUGACGGCCUUCGGGUUGUAAACCUCUUUCAGCAGGGACGAAGCGAAAGUGACGGUACCUGCAGAAGAAGCACCGGCCAACUACGUGCCAGCAGCCGCGGUAAUACGUAGGGUGCAAGCGUUGUCCGGAAUUACUGGGCGUAAAGAGCUCGUAGGC